Molecule: long non-coding RNA, 969 nt
Organism: Rhea pennata
Lineage: Eukaryota; Metazoa; Chordata; Aves; Rheiformes; Rheidae
Exons: 4
Source: RefSeq, a predicted model, not a curated record
CUCCGGCGAGGCGGGCGCCGCCGCCGCCCGUUACCGUAUAAAGGAGCGGCGCAGGAGGCGAGGGAAGUCGCGGAAGAUCUGUGUGUCCGUUCGUUGCUGCCGUACCUUCCCGCACGGUCCGGAUACAGCUCGGUUUGGGUUGACAGCGUGUCUGUCGAGAGCGGAGGAAAUGAGAAGUGAGGUACUGCUGGGUUUGCUCACACCUGCACAGCGAGGCCGAGGCGGAGGGCAUGUAUAUUUCUUCCACUAGCUCUGUGGAAGAAGCACAGUGCUAUCCACGGUAUUUGCACAGCCAUGGCACCGCAAUUAUUGCACUCUUCCAGCUCAGCUUGAUUCACCCUCGUACAAGGGACAGGGAUGGGCUAAAGAGGAUGAUGAGGAGAGAGUCACUCCCAGUACAAAACCCAGCCAGUCACUCCACUUGCCUUACACUGUGCUACUGCCACUGGAUCUUCACCUGGCUGUCAAGGACAAACACUUGCCAAAUUUAUGAUGCUCAGACUAGCAUUUUUGAGCCAUUCAUAUGAAUAUAUCCAGGAGAAAUCCCAAGCGCUGACUGAUGAAAGAUAUAAUAUUUGGUAUGGAAUUCACAAAGCGACUAUUCUAUUACGGUCAAAGGAAAACCCUGCAUUCACCAAAAAAGAAAAUUCCAGAAAUCAUCCAGUUCCCAAGAACAACACAAUACAGUGCUGCAACAUUAAGCCAUACUUUGGGACACUUCUGGGAAAUCCAAAAUCUGUGACUAUGUGACGUUUGGCAUUCCCCACUACUACAGAUUUUUCCUGAUUAUAUAACGCAAGUAUAUCAUCAAAUAUGAAGUAUAUUACUACACCAGUCAAUGAUUAUCCUGAGUAUCUGCAAAACUUCUUCACUGAUGAAAAUCAACAUGAAAGUGUAAAGAAUUAUGAAUGUUUUAAUAAAUAAACAGUUCACUUGUAACUUUAUGAUAAUAAAAUUAAAACACAACAA